This 255-nucleotide ribosomal RNA is filed under the name uncultured bacterium. RNAcentral's name for it is "partial 16S ribosomal RNA". It matches the Rfam family "Bacterial small subunit ribosomal RNA", at positions 524 to 776 of the family's 1533-position model. The record is from RNAcentral.
UACGUAGGGUGCAAGCGUUUAAUCGGAAUUACUGGGCGUAAAGCGUGCGCAGGCGGUUUUGUAAGUUUGUCGUGAAAGCCCCGGGCUCAACCUGGGAAUUGCGAUGAAGACUGCAAGGCUUGAAUCUGGCAGAGGGGGGGUAGAAUUCCACGUGUAGCAGUGAAAUGCGUAGAGAUGUGGAGGAACACCGAUGGCGAAGGCAGCCCCCUGGGUCAAGAUUGACGCUCAUGCACGAAAGCGUGGGGAGCAAACAGG